This 87-nucleotide transfer RNA is filed under the name Acidobacteriota bacterium. Its description in RNAcentral is "tRNA-Leu". It matches the Rfam family "tRNA". From Rfam's summary of the family: Transfer RNA (tRNA) molecules are approximately 80 nucleotides in length. Lineage: Bacteria; Pseudomonadati; Acidobacteriota. The record is from RNAcentral.
GCGGAUGUGGCGGAAUUGGCAGACGCACUGGAUUUAGGUUCCAGCGGGAGCAAUCCCGUGGAGGUUCAAGUCCUCUCAUCCGCACCA